AUUGAACGCUGGCGGCAUGCUUUACACAUGCAAGUCGAACAGCAGCGCGGGCUUCGGCCUGGCGGCGAGUGGCGAACGGGUGAGUAAUACAUCGGAACGUGCCCAGUAGUGGGGGAUAGCUCGGCGAAAGCCGGAUUAAUACCGCAUACGACCUGAGGGUGAAAGCGGGGGAUCUUCGGACCUCGCGCUAUUGGAGCGGCCGAUGGCAGAUUAGCUAGUUGGUGGGGUAAAGUCCUACCAAGGCGACGAUCUGUAGCUGGUCUGAGAGGACGACCAGCCAACUGGGACUUGAGAACGGCCCCAAACCCCUCGGGGGGGAAGAGGGGGGAAUUUUGGGCAAUGGGGGGAAAGCUUGUCCAACAAAGGCGCGGGGGGGAAUGAAGCCUUCCGGGUUUAAACGACUUUUGGGCGGGACGAAAAAGGAUUGUCCAAAAACCACGGUUCGAUGCGGGACCCGGAAAAAAAAGCCCCGGCUAACACCGU
Molecule: ribosomal RNA, 483 nt
Filed under: uncultured bacterium
Lineage: Bacteria
Description: partial 16S ribosomal RNA
Rfam family: Bacterial small subunit ribosomal RNA
Source: RNAcentral